ACUUCGAUAGCUCAGUUGGUAGAGUGGAGGACUCUUAGGUCGCAGGUUCGAUUCCAGCUCAAAGGA
This is a non-coding RNA of Danio rerio (zebrafish), 66 nucleotides long. The record is from Rfam. NCBI's taxonomy places the organism in Eukaryota, Metazoa, Chordata, Actinopteri, Cypriniformes, Danionidae.